RNAcentral lists this ribosomal RNA (253 nucleotides) under uncultured bacterium. RNAcentral describes it as "partial 16S ribosomal RNA". It matches the Rfam family "Bacterial small subunit ribosomal RNA", at positions 524 to 776 of the family's 1533-position model. The record is from RNAcentral.
UACGUAGGUGGCGAGCGUUGUCCGGAAUUACUGGGCGUAAAGGGCGCGUAGGCGGAUCGUUAAGUUGGACGUGAAAUACCCCGGCUCAACUGGGGGGCGACGUCCAAAACUGGCGGACUAGAGUGCAGGAGAGGAAAGUAGAAUUCCCAGUGUAGCGGUGAAAUGCGUAGAUAUUGGGAGGAAUACCGGUGGCGAAGGCGGCUUUCUGGACUGUAACUGACGCUGAGGCGCGAAAGCUGGGGGAGCGAACAGG